AAAUAGAAAGAAAAAUAUUCUGAUAUUUUACAAUGCAGAUGACUUCUUGAACAACUUUAGGAAAUUUAUAUCCAUGGAGAUCUUUUAUAGCUUCCAUAAACAGUUUAUCAAGAAAUUUUGACGAGCGACCAUAAAAUAAUUUUAUUAAAUAAUUAAAUAAUUUUGCUCGAAUCUUUCCAGUUUGCCAAGAAAUUUUGAUGAAUAGCUAUAACUAUCGAACCACCCUGUAGAUGCAUUAUUCGCCAUGGAAAGGUCUACUUCUCCAAAUGAACUUUCCCUCGAACAAUAGUAUCGAACAAAGGGGACUACGAAACAGUUCUGGAAACGGGUUUUUACUUGGUUUGCAACCUUGCUCCGCUUUGAUUCUUCGAUCGCCUCCCUCUUUUAUUCGACACGUCAGAGGCUGCCUCAAUGAUUCAUCCACCUCACGCCUCUUCUACCCUCCCCUUGGAAAGGGCGAGUCGA
Molecule: long non-coding RNA, 465 nt
Organism: Bombus terrestris (buff-tailed bumblebee)
Lineage: Eukaryota; Metazoa; Arthropoda; Insecta; Hymenoptera; Apidae
Exons: 3
Source: RefSeq, a predicted model, not a curated record